RNAcentral lists this ribosomal RNA (752 nucleotides) under uncultured bacterium. RNAcentral's name for it is "bacterial SSU rRNA". It matches the Rfam family "Bacterial small subunit ribosomal RNA", at positions 8 to 796 of the family's 1533-position model. The record is from RNAcentral.
AGAGUUUGAUCAUGGCUCAGAAUCAACGCUGGCGGCGCGCUUAACACAUGCAAGUCGCACGAGAAAGGGAGCAAUCCUAAGUAAAGUGGCGCACGGGUGAGUAACACGUGGAUCAUCUACCUUUUAGUGGGGAAUACCUCUGGGAAACCGGAGACAAUACCGCAUAAGCCCGCAAGGGGAAAGCAGCAAUGCGCUGAAAGAGGAGUCCGCGGCCGAUUAGCUAGUUGGCGGGGUAACGGCCCACCAAGGCGAAGAUCGGUAGCCGGCCUGAGAGGGCACACGGCCACACUGGCACUGAAACACGGGCCAGACUCCUACGGGAGGCAGCAGUGGGGAAUCUUGCACAAUGGGCGAAAGCCUGAUGCAGCGACGCCGCGUGAGCGAUGAAGCCCUUCGGGGUGUAAAGCUCUUUCGACGGGAACGAUAAUGACGGUACCCGGAGAAGAAGCUGCGGCUAACUACGUGCCAGCAGCCGCGGUAAUACGUAGGCAGCGAGCGUUGUUCGGAAUUACUGGGCGUAAAGAGUGUGUAGGCGGUGUUCCCAGUCUGUUGUGAAAUCUCCCGGCUUAACUGGGAGGGUGCAGCGGAAACUAGAAUGCUAGAGGGUGGGAGAGGUAAGCGGAAUUCCUGGUGUAGCGGUGAAAUGCGUAGAUAUCAGGAGGNNNNCCUGGUGUAGACAGCUUACUGGACCACUUCUGACGCUGAGACACGAAAGCGUGGGUAGCAAACAGGAUUAGAUACCCUAGUAGUCC